UCAACCCUAUCAGGUAGUGUGCUUUGCUUAAUAGAGUUGAUCAUGCUGACAGAUGUACCCUGCCUCAGCCUGUUUCAUUGUGAUAUUUAUUUUCCAUAAGGGUUGUCCCUUUUUUGGACCUCAGCAAGGAUCCGAGGGUUUUCACUGCCAGAUGUAUCUCGCUUGUUGAGCAGCAACCCAGCCAAAUUAUGUAGCCUGGAAGAUCGCAAGGGAGCCAUUAAAAUAGGGUGCGAUGCUGACCUGGUCAUCUGGGAUCCUGAUAGUGAGUUUCAGGUGCAAGAGAAGAAUAUUUAUCAUAAGAACAAGCUCACCCCCUAUCUGGGAUUCCUUCUUUGGGGAGAAGUUGUGGCAACUGUUAUUCAGGGGACUCUGGUCUAUCACAAAGGAAAGCAUGUCCUCCAACCUACAGGAGAGCUGAUUCUCAUUCGCACUAUGGACCCGCAGGAACCUAAUGCUCCCUAUUACUGAAUAUCCAAACCAUCUAUACACUUAGUGGACAGGAGCUUCGUUAAGCCAUGUCUUGCCUGUCCUCGUACUGUAUCUUGUAAUGUCCGCUUGUACACUAUAUGAUGAAAUGCAGAUGUCAGGUUAUCUCUCAUGUGACCGUUAGGGCUCAUUCAGGCGACCGCAUCUGUUUUGCAGUCCGCAAAAUACGGAUACCAGCCGUGGAACGGAACUGCCAGCCCUAUGAUAGAAAUGCCUAUUCUUGUCUGCAAAAACGGAAAAGAAUAGGACAUGUUCUAUUUUUCUGUGGGGCCGCGGAAUGGAAGUGCAGAUGCAGGAGAUCACACUGGUACAAGAAUAGGAGGUACGGAUGCAGACAGCACACAAUGUGCUGUCUGCAUCUUUUGCGGCCCCAUUGAAAUGAAUAGGUCCGCAUCCAUUCCGCAAACUUGCAGUAUGGAUGCGGACACAAACAUACGGUUGUCUGAAUGAGCUCUUAUAUGUCUCGCUCCCUCAGCAUUUAACAGUCUUUACCAGGGCAGACAUCGGGGCAGAUUUACUAACAGUGUCAAAGACCAGAUUUAUCACAGGGCUGAUGCUGGAUGAUACUCCGGGGCACCUGUGGCCUGUCUAGUCUAUCUCCUGUCAGGUGGCUUACUUGGUGCCAGAAUUGUGUGUCAGAAUUUUAGUGCAUAUUAAGCCAUACCCCUCUAUCACUAAGAAUGUCAGCGACACUAAAUGUGGCAAACCACCUCUGACAGAUUUGUGACGCUUCUACCCCAAUGUGCUCAGUCAAUGGAGCUUAUUCAUCAAAACUGCCUAACAGUAAAACUGUCUUUGUUGUCCAUAGCAACCAAUCACAGCACAGCUUAUAUCUCUUCCAGUGCCCUUGAAAAAAUGAAAGCUGCACUGUGAUUGGUUGCUAUGGGCAAGCAAAACAGUUUUUCUUCCAGUGUUAUUACCCUGCCCCUAUGUCUUCUGUCUUUACCACAUGCUCCUCUGGAAUAAUUCACACGGUUUUGCUUCUGUUCACAUCAGGGCUUUCCCUCACAAUCAUCCCAACGUCCAUGUUUUGUGAGAUGCCAUCAUUUAGCCAUCAUGUCCUGGUAGUUCCUGAACGCCUUCUCUUUCUUAUCCUGUACCUCCCUGUGAUGUGACAUCAGUAUAAGGCCUCAUGCACACGACCGUUGUUUUGGUCCGCAUCCGAGCCAAAGUUUUUGCGGCUCGGAUGUGGACCCAUUAACUUAAACGUGCCGCAAAAGAUGCGGACAGCAGUCCGUGUGCUGUCCGCAUCCGUUGUUCCGUUCCAUGGUCCGCCAAAAAAUAUAACCUGUCCUAUUCUUGUUCGUUUUGCGGACAAGAAUAGGCAGUUAUAUCAAUGGCUGUCUGUGCUGUUCUACAAAUGGGGGAACACACAGGUACGCCAUCCGUGUUUUGCGGAUCCGCAAUUUGCGGACUGUAAAACACACAACGGUCGUGUGCAUGAGGCCUUACCAGGGUAUUAACCACUUCACAUAAAAUGUCCAUGGUAAUGGUAACACAACAUACAUAAUAUUCCAAAUAUCCUAACAGAAUUGCUUUAUCUUCCUAGUAAAUUUUAUUACUACUGAUUUACUAAAAUAAAUCUGCAAAACCC
Molecule: long non-coding RNA, 2080 nt
Organism: Bufo gargarizans (Asiatic toad)
Lineage: Eukaryota; Metazoa; Chordata; Amphibia; Anura; Bufonidae
Exons: 3
Source: RefSeq, a predicted model, not a curated record